Molecule: ribosomal RNA, 376 nt
Filed under: Candidatus Falkowiibacteriota bacterium
Lineage: Bacteria; Candidatus Falkowiibacteriota
Description: bacterial SSU rRNA
Rfam family: Bacterial small subunit ribosomal RNA
Source: RNAcentral
UAUUGAGAGUUUGAUCCUGGCUCAGGAUGAACGCUGGCGGCGUGGCUAAGGCAUGCAAGUCGAACGGACUUUCAGAGCUUGCUUUGAAAGUUAGUGGCAAACGGGAGAGUAACACAUUGGUAACCUACCCCAAAGACGAGAAUAACCCAGGGAAACUUGGACUAAUACUCGAUGUGCUGUACUGACUCAAGUCAGUCCAGUAAAGCUCCGGUGCUUUGGGAGGGGCCUAUGGCUUAUCAGCUAGUUGGUGAGGUAAGAGCUCACCAAGGCAAUGACGAGUAGCGGGAUUGAGAGAUCGACCCGCCUCACUGGGACUGAGACACUGCCCAGACUCCUACGGGAGGCUGCAGUCAAGAAUAUUCCCCAAUGGCCGAAA